UACCAAUACCAAUACCAACUACAUUUGAUCAUUUGUAUUAUAUAAUUCACUGUUAUUGCUCUCUACUUCUAAUUAACAUCACGCAAACUCAUCUACUCUCUAUUUCUAACAAAACCAAAUUCAUCUUCUCUCUAUUCUCUCUACUUGUAUCAAGCAUACUCAUCUUCUUCUUUUUUCCUCUCUUUGAUCACAAGUUUAUAAAACUCUUUAAUCAUUUCUAUGGCUUCUUCUUCUCAAAACACAUUCGAUGAAUCAUCUGAUGAUACAUUUGAUGACAUAUUUGAUCAAAAAUUUGAUGAAAAAUUUGAUCAAUUCUUUGAUCAAGCGUU
Molecule: long non-coding RNA, 329 nt
Filed under: Brassica napus (rape)
Lineage: Eukaryota; Viridiplantae; Streptophyta; Magnoliopsida; Brassicales; Brassicaceae
Description: long non-coding RNA (BNAP_LNC024373)
Source: RNAcentral